Molecule: ribosomal RNA, 451 nt
Filed under: uncultured bacterium
Lineage: Bacteria
Description: partial 16S ribosomal RNA
Rfam family: Bacterial small subunit ribosomal RNA
Source: RNAcentral
AACGAACGCUGGCGGCAGGCUUAACACAUGCAAGUCGAACGGUUGUAGCAAUACAGCAGUGGCGCACGGGUGAGUAACGCGUGGAUAUCUGCCUUUUGGUUCGGAAUAACCCCGGGAAACUGGGGCUAAUACCGGAUGGUUCCUUCGGGAUAAAGAUUUAUCGCCAAAAGAUGAGUCCGCGUACGAUUAGCUAGUUGGUGAGGUAAUGGCUCACCAAGGCGACGAUCGUUAGCUGGUCUGAGAGGACGAUCAGCCACACUGGGACUGAGACACGGCCCAGACUCCUACGGGAGGCAGCAGUGGGGAAUAUUGGACAAUGGGGGCAACCCUGAUCCAGCCAUGCCGCGUGAGUGAUGAAGGCCUUCGGGUUGUAAAGCUCUUUUGGCGGGGACGAUGAUGACGGUACCCGCAGAAUAAGCCCCGGCUAACUUCGUGCCAGCAGCCGCAGUAA